This 253-nucleotide ribosomal RNA is filed under the name uncultured bacterium. RNAcentral describes it as "partial 16S ribosomal RNA". It matches the Rfam family "Bacterial small subunit ribosomal RNA", at positions 524 to 776 of the family's 1533-position model. The record is from RNAcentral.
UACGGAGGGUGCAAGCGUUGCUCGGAAUUACUGGGCGUAAAGGGAGCGUAGGCGGACAGUUUAGUCAGAGGUGAAAGCCCAGGGCUCAACCUUGGAAUUGCCUUUGAUACUGACUGUCUUGAGUUUGGGAGAGGUUAGCGGAACUCCGAGUGUAGAGGUGAAAUUCGUAGAUAUUCGGAAGAACACCAGUGGCGAAGGCGGCUAACUGGCCCAUUACUGACGCUGAGGCUCGAAAGCGUGGGGAGCAAACAGG